AAAAUCCGUCGACUUUAAAAAUCGGGAGGGUUCAAGUCCCUCUAUCCCCAAAAAG
RNAcentral lists this transfer RNA (55 nucleotides) under Elatostema sesquifolium. Its description in RNAcentral is "partial tRNA-Leu". RNAcentral also lists the same sequence under 1 other name. Lineage: Eukaryota; Viridiplantae; Streptophyta; Magnoliopsida; Rosales; Urticaceae. The record is from RNAcentral.